RNAcentral lists this transfer RNA (67 nucleotides) under Marmota monax (woodchuck). RNAcentral's name for it is "tRNA.Ala". The record is from RNAcentral. Lineage: Eukaryota; Metazoa; Chordata; Mammalia; Rodentia; Sciuridae.
GGUUCAUGGCUCAGUGGUAGAGCUCUUGCCUCGCACAUCUGAGGCCCUGGGUUCCAUCCUCAGACCA